RNAcentral lists this ribosomal RNA (40 nucleotides) under Tetraselmis striata. RNAcentral's name for it is "partial Eukaryotic large subunit ribosomal RNA". Lineage: Eukaryota; Viridiplantae; Chlorophyta; Chlorodendrophyceae; Chlorodendrales; Chlorodendraceae. The record is from RNAcentral.
UUACUCCCGAAAAUGGAUGGCGCUUAAGCGUGCGACUUAU